Molecule: transfer RNA, 66 nt
Filed under: Neostromboceros nipponicus
Lineage: Eukaryota; Metazoa; Arthropoda; Insecta; Hymenoptera; Tenthredinidae
Description: tRNA-Thr
Source: RNAcentral
GUUUUAAUAGUUUAAUCAAAAUAAUGAUUUUGUAAUUCAUAGAAAAGAUAAAUUUCUUUUAAAACU